This 990-nucleotide long non-coding RNA is filed under the name Olea europaea (common olive). RNAcentral describes it as "long non-coding RNA (OEUR_LNC011826)". Lineage: Eukaryota; Viridiplantae; Streptophyta; Magnoliopsida; Lamiales; Oleaceae. The record is from RNAcentral.
GGGGGUUCUUUACGACCAAUUAGUGCUCUUAAGACUUGGGGUUCCAUUAUAAUUUCCGUUUCGUCCAAUUCGGUGCUCUCCGCUCCAAUAUCGGUCUAUUUAUUUCAGUAAACAUGUGUUUAACUGUAUAUGAGCCACGUAUCACAAUAGUUUCUCUUUAUUCGAUGUAUCCCUCGACAAGUGUAUCCUACUAUCUCUCUUUAAUGAUGUUAUGUCUAAGUUGCAUCCACACCAACGAAGUUCAUAUAGAAAUGUUGCACUCAUGUCGAAGAGUUUGCAAAUAGGUAACAUUAUAGCAAUACUAAAUCCUGCCCGUUCAUCUUUUCUUGUAACGGGUUCUAAAUGAGAUGCAUGCUUGUGAUAUAAAGCUCUCUAAUCGGAUCUCAAUUAGCAGAACUCAAAUGAAAGAUGUUUUGAGAAAACUAAGAAAAGAAUAUUUUGUAGAGUGAACUUUAACAUGACUUUUAAAAGUAAAAUUUGCGAGAGUUAUUUUUGGCAUUUUAUUAAGAUUAAAUGUUUGGCUAACAAGAAAUCGAACACGAGUAUUCAUUGGCCCUGGCCUCCUAGAUUGGAGUGAUAGCUUAAUAGCUUGAAUCUCUUUAACUUGAUUGUUCACUUUUCUUUACAAGCUUCUAGUUGGACGAGGCAUUCAUUCUUUGAUUUUCAGUUACCAUUUUGAGGAAAAAUUAUUAAUAGGUAACAUCAUUUGUUCCAUUUUAGUUUUUCUAUUGCCCACAACCCUACGUAAAACAAUCACUAGAAAUGGCCAUAGAUCUCUCAACUCUCCAAUGAAUGAGUGAAGUGGGCAUAAGAAAAAAUAACAUACAUCAAGUUCCCAAUUAACACACCCAAAUAACAGUAUGAAACCCUCUUGCACUUGCAGUGAUGCCAGAAUCCUAGAACUUCUCAAUAUAUGAUUCAAAUCACAUGAUGCAAGAAGUUUUUUGCCAAACUCAUUAAACCAAUGACAUUUGAAGAUAAUGGGGUAAU